UGGGGAAUAUUGCACAAUGGGGGAAACCCUGAUGCAGCGACGCCGCGUGGGUGAAGAAGUAUUUCGGUAUGUAAAGCCCUAUCAGCAGGGAAGAAAAUGACAGUACCUGACUAAGAAGCCCCGGCUAACUACGUGCCAGCAGCCGCGGUAAUACGUAGGGGGCAAGCGUUAUCCGGAUUUACUGGGUGUAAAGGGAGCGUAGGUGGCCUGGCAAGCCAGAAGUGAAAACCCGGGGCUUAACCCCGCGGAUUGCUUUUGGAACUGUUAGGCUUGAGU
This 276-nucleotide ribosomal RNA is filed under the name uncultured Lachnospiraceae bacterium. Its description in RNAcentral is "partial 16S ribosomal RNA". It matches the Rfam family "Bacterial small subunit ribosomal RNA", at positions 355 to 647 of the family's 1533-position model. The record is from RNAcentral. Lineage: Bacteria; Bacillati; Bacillota; Clostridia; Lachnospirales; Lachnospiraceae.